Long non-coding RNA from Acipenser ruthenus (sterlet), 5637 nucleotides. RefSeq lists it as uncharacterized. The transcript is spliced from 3 exons. NCBI's taxonomy places the organism in Eukaryota, Metazoa, Chordata, Actinopteri, Acipenseriformes, Acipenseridae. The record is from RefSeq and is a predicted model, not a curated record.
UUUAUGUAGGUGCAACCCAACCGGCACAGAACGUACUUGGCAGCAACUGAAGAUGAAAUAUAAAAAUAUACUUCAAACAGGUAAGGUAUAACUUCAUUACAAGCAAUUGUUAUGUUGUUUAGCCUACCCUACCUAAUUAAACCGCAUUCAGUGGCUACAUUCAACAUGUGAUAUAUUUAAGUAGUUAGUGAAAUUUUCUAAGCAAAAAAAAAAGUAAAUUUUUCAGCCAUCCCAACACUGCCAGUAUUUAAUAUUGUCUACUUGAAAGUAACACCUAAAUGCCUUUAUACAUACAAGUCUCCAAAUUUGUGCUUACUGGACAUGUUCAAAUUUGACCUCCAUAGCUAAUAGAAAAAAGGCUGAGGGCCGAAAAACAGGUGGGGGUCCACCACCACCACCACUCACAGAGGCUGAAGAGAUGGCCCUCAGUCAAAACAGUGGGCGACCUAUUGCUGAAGACAUCUCUGGAGGAAGCUCAUCUGACCCAACCACCCCCCAGGACACAAGGGCCUACAUAAGAGGUUAGUUAUUCAAAUUAAUGAUAUAUGUACAUUCAUCCUUUUGCCAGUGUUAGCUCAGUGACGCCCACCCAUCCAUUUUAGACACAACUUGGCACACUGAUUUUCUUGUAGUGGUACAAUUCUUUGCAAUUGACUGCUGUUACUCCUUCAGACAUCAUAAUCUAUUUUAAGGUGACUCGAGAAUUAUAUAUUUGAAAAAUUGUGAUGUGGCCUGCACACUGUUGUAAAAACAAAAUUCAAAUUAGGUGGGGCACUUUUCUGGGUAAAGUUAUAAUUUAACUGUCUAAUCUUCUUCAUCUUCUACCAGUUACUGAUGGUGUAAUCUGUCUGGUGGAGCCUUCUGCCAUAACAGACCUCUAUGCAGUUGUAAGUACUCUUAAUACUCCACAGAUGUUUCAUAAUGGGUUAAAGUAGAACACAAAAAUUGUUAAUUUUCAUUACAGGAGGAUGAUGAUGAUGAAGACACCUUGUCAGCUGCCACAGAGAGGGAAGAUACAGAGAGACCUAUUGAGGUUCACACCUUAAAAGUAACAUCUAACAGUUGAUGAUAGUGUUGUACCAAAAAUAAAACUUGCACAUUCUUUUUCUGUAAGAGCGAAAAAGAUGCUGGAAAUUACAAUGAGGAAGAGGGUCCAUCCACCUCCACAGCACAACUUACCUCAGUAAGAUGUUGUUCAGCAUUGGCCCAUGACUUACAAUGAAACUAAGUAGACCUGGCACUGUGAAAUUCAAAGUCAUUUUUUUGUGUUCCUAUAGCUCCCUGUGAAACAGCUGUACAAGGUGUACUUAAAUAAACAAAUUGAAAAAUGUAAUUUAGAAAUGGACCACAUAAGGCUGCAGAUGCGAAAGGCAAAACUAGAAAUACAACUGCUGGAACAUCAGUUAAAGGUGGGUGAGGUGCCCACAGGUGGAUGAUGUUACUUGUUUGAACAACAUAAAAAAAUAUUAACUACUGUACUGCAUUUGUACUUGCAGGAAAUAAAGAAGACUUAAUAAAAAGAAAGGCAUAUUGUCUUUAUUUGACACUGGGGAGGUGAUGGGUCAGUCAGAAAUGAUGGUAGCAUAUUGUGUCUCUGACUGCUCUUUCAUCUCGUGCGUCAGGAUCAUUAUCAGGAUCGUUCACUGGUUGAGUAGGACAUUGUUCUCCUCUAAUUGUGGCAAUGUUGUGGAGAAUCACACAUGCCACAGUAAUGUCACAUGCCCUUUCUGGGGUGACCCUGAGCCUACGAAGGCACUGGAACCGGGCCUUGAGCAUCCCAAUGGUCAUCUCUACCCUGGCUCGUGUCCUGCAGUGAGCCAAGUUAUAACGUUGCUGUGGGCCGGGCUCAGGAUCAGAGUAAGGGGUCAGCAAAUAGGGCUGGCAGGGGUACCCUCUGUCACCGAGCAGGUAACCAUCGAACUCUCCUAUGAUAAUACGAGGAUACAGUUUAAAUUUUCAGUUGCAAUAGGAGGAAACAAAAUAUUGAUUAUAAUAGGAUAUAGCUAUAUAUAUAUAAACUCACCACAGGCAAAUCUAGCACUCAGUGUACACUCACGAAACAUUCGCGAGUCAUGCACAGACCCAGGCCACUUUGCUUCCACGUUGCUGAUGAUGUGGGCUGCAUCACAUAUGAUCUUCACAGUGCAGAACAGUAAUUAGCUGCAGUAGCUGUAUUGUGAAGUAUCUUUCAUUUGGAAUGCUAAAGGCUACUAUUUACGCCUACCUGCACAUUAAUGCUGUGGAAAGACUUCCUAUUCACAUAAUCUCCUUCAUUUACUGAAGGAGCUAUGAUAGGAAUAUGAGUGCCAUCUAUGCAGCCAAUCACACCUGGAAACCCUAAAAUAUAUCAAAUUAACUGAUUAGUGCUUCAAGUCUCAAAGCUUCAUACUAAAUAAAUUAAUUAUUGCUUAGACUGAUACCUGCAAUUCUGUGGAAUUCUUCUUUGAUGAGUCUUGUAGGUCUGUGACUUGGGAACACCACAAAAGUGUACAGUAAAACGUUUCAGUGCUAGAGUCACAUUUCUGACAGCCCGACAGACGGUUGCCUUGGAAAUAUGCUCAGCGUCACCGAUGUUAUAUAGAAAACUCCCGUUGGCAAAAAAACGAAGUGCAACACAAAGAAUUUGUUCCGAACUGAGAGCAUGUCCACGAUGUGUCAUAUGAACGAUAUGAGGGCUGAGAAUAUUGUUCAGAUGAAUGAUCGAUUGAGCAGAAAAACGGUAACGUAAACAGAUGAUCAUCAGGGAAUGAUAAAACAUCCAAGCGGGGUCUGAUCACCCUCUCCCGACGGAGAUUUCUGCGGAGUAUUUGUGCUUCAAUAUCAACUGGCUCUUCAAGAAAAGGACACGCCAUGUCUGACUCCUCCUUCAGUCUGCAGGCUUCAGCUAAAGAGGAGAAACUCAGGGUUAGUUGAAGAAAACCUGCUAGCGAGCAGGUUAGCUUCACGGAGUAUGUUGCCAUAGUAACUGACUCAGAGUUAAGCUGAACUGGCUUCGUGAAACCGAAAACCCAGAGUUUCCUUCAACUCUGAGUCAACUAACUGAGUUUUCACUAAACCCGCUUUCUGAAACAGGGCCCAGAUUGAACAUUUUGCAACCAUUUAGUAAAGAAAGAGCAUCCAUUGGAGAAUGCGGGUAGUGAUCCCGUUACUUCUCGCAUGCUAAGCGAGUGCUCUACCAUUUGAGCUAAUUCCCCACACUUGACAAAAAACGACACGUUGCUGCCCAGAGCUAGGCGAAAAUUAUUCUCUUUUUUUUUUUGAUGUUUCAGACAGUUGCCGUAGGUUUCAUUCUUUUUGUCCUCAUUACCAGUAAAAAACUUUUAUUCUCAAGGAAGACCAGAUUGAACAUUUUCCAACCAUUUAGUAAAGAAAGAGCAUCCAUUGGAGAAUGCGGGUAUCGAUCCCGCUACUUCUCGCAUGCUAAGCGAGCGCUCUACCAUUUGAGCUAAUUCCCCACACUUGACAAAAUACGACACGUUGCUGCCCAGAGCUAGGCGAAAAUGAUUCUCUCUUUUUUAUUUUGAUGUUUCAGACAGUUGCCGUAGGUUUCAUUCUUUUUGUCCUCAUUACCAGUAAAAAACUUUUGUUCUCAAGGAAGACCAGAUUGAACAUUUUCCAACCAUUUAGUAAAGAAAGAGCAUCUAUUGGAGAAUGCGGGUAUGGAUCCCGCUAUUUUUCACAUGCUAAGCGAGCGUUCUACCAUUUGAGCUAAUUCCCCACACUUGACAAUGAAUGACACGUGGCUGCCCAGAGCUAGGCGAAAAUGAUUCUCUUAUUUUUAUUUAAUGAUGUUUCAGACAGUGCUUGCCGUAGGUUUCAUUCUUUCUUUUUGUCCUCAUUACCAGUAAAAAACUUUUGUUCUCAAGGAAGACCAGGGCCCUGUUUCAGAAAGCAGGUUUAACAAACUCUGAGUUUAAACCUGAACUCUGGGUUGACUAACUGAGUUGUCAAACUCAGAGUUUUCGGUUUCAGAACAGGUGAUAACAAUGAGUUCAAUCAACUCUGAGUUAAGUUAACCCUGAGUAAAGCGCGUGCAUGAGGAGAUAAAAAGCCCUCAUCAAAGGAACGCAGAUAACCUGAUUCGUCAUGGCAACAGGAGAAUAAAGGGCUCGAACCUUCUACUUCUCCCCAGAGAAGAUAGAAAUAUUAAUGAAUGCGUAUGCAGAAUAAGAGUAUAUAUUUAAGAAAAAAAGCAAUACUGUAGCAGCAGCAAAAUAACGUGAGCUGGCGUGGCAGGAAAUUGCUGACCGAGUCAAUGCGUGAGUAUUAAUUGAAUAAAAAGAAGUUUUAUCUCGAGUGUUCCACUUAUUCAACAUUUAUUUUAUAUAUAUAUAUAUAUAUAUAUAUAUAUAUAUAUAUAUAUAUGUGUGUGUGUGUGUGUGUGUGUGUGUGUGUGUGUGUGUGUGUGUGUGUGCGCGUGUUUAAUAUUUAUGCAGGUGCAACCCAACCGGCACAAAACGUACUUGGCAGCAACUGAAGAUGAAAUAUAGAAAUAUACUUCAAACAGGUAAGGUAUGACUUCAUUACAAGCAAUUGUUAUGUUGUUUAGCCUACCCAACCUAAUUAAACCGCAUUCAGUGGCUACAUUCAACAUGUGAUAUAUUUAAGUAGUUAGUGAAAUGUUCUAAGCAAAAAAAAAAGUAAAUUUUUCAGCCAUCCCAACACUGCCAGUAUUUAAUAUUGUCUAUUUGAAAGUAACACCUAAAUGCCUUUAUACAUACAAGUCUCCAAAUUUGUGCUUACUGGACAUGUUCAAAUUUGACCUCCAUAGCCAAUAGAAAAAAGGCUGAGGGCCGAAAAACAGGUGGGGGUCCACCACCACCACCACUCACAGAGGCUGAAGAGAUGGCCCUCAGUCAAAACAGUGGGCGACCUAUUGCUGAAGGCAUCUCUGGAGGAAGCUCAUCUGACCCAACCAACCCCCAGGACACAAGGGCCUACAUAAGAGUUACUGAUGGUGUAAUCUGUCUGGUGGAGCCUUCUGCCAUAACAGACCUCUAUGCAGUUGAGGAUGAUGAUGAAGACACCUUGUCAGCUGCCACAGAGAGGGAAGAUACAGAGAGACCUAUUGAGGUUCACACCUUAAAAGUAACAUCUAACAGUUGAUGAUAGUGUUGUACCAAAAAUAAAACUUGCACAUUCUUUUUCUGUAAGAGCGAAAAAGAUGCUGGAAAUUACAAUGAGGAAGAGGGUCCAUCCACCUCCACAGCACAACUUACCUCAGUAAGAUGUUGUUCAGCAUUGGCCCAUGACUUACAAUGAAACUAAGUAGACCUGGCACUGUGAAAUUCAAUGUCAUUGUUUUGUGUUCCUAUAGCUCCCUGUGAAACAGCUGUACAAGGUGUACUUAAAUAAACAAAUUGAAAAAUGUAAUUUAGAAAUGGACCACAUAAGGCUGCAGAUGCGAAAGGCAAAACUAGAAAUACAACUGCUGGAACAUCAGUUAAAGGUGGGUGAGGUGCCCACAGGUGGAUGAUGUUACUUGUUUGAACAACAUAAAAAAUAUUAACUACUGUACUGCAUUUGUACUUGCAGGAAAUAAAGAAGACUUAAUAAAAAGAGAGGCAUAUUGUCUUUAUUUGACACUGGGGAGGUGAUGGGUCAGUCAGAAAUGAUGGUAGCAUAUUGUGUCUCUGA